CUGCCGGCGACCGGCGGACGGGUGCGUAACGCGUAUGUAACCUACCUUUGACAGGGGGAUAACAUCGAGAAAUUGGUACUAAUACCCCAUAACAUCACCGGAGGCAUCUUCGGUGGUUGAAAACUCAGGUGGUCAGAGAUGGACAUGCGUUGUAUUAGCUAGUUGGUGAGGUAACGGCUCACCAAGGCGACGAUACAUAGGGGGACUGAGAGGUCAACCCCCCACAUUGGUACUGAGACACGGACCAAACUCCUACGGAAGGCAGCAG
This 268-nucleotide ribosomal RNA is filed under the name uncultured bacterium. RNAcentral's name for it is "partial 16S ribosomal RNA". It matches the Rfam family "Bacterial small subunit ribosomal RNA", at positions 85 to 354 of the family's 1533-position model. The record is from RNAcentral.